UGGGGAAUCUUGGACAAUGGGCGAAAGCCUGACCCAGCAACGCCGCGUGAAGGAUGAAGUAUUUCGGUAUGUAAACUUCGAAAGAAUAGGAAGAAUAAAUGACGGUACUAUUUAUAAGGUCCGGCUAACUACGUGCCAGCAGCCGCGGUAAUACGUAGGGACCAAGCGUUGUUCGGAUUUACUGGGCGUAAAGGGCGCGUAGGCGGUGUGUCAAGUCAGUUGUGAAAUCUCCGAGCUUAACUCGGAACGGUCAACUGAUACUGUCACACUAGAGUACAGAAGGGGCAAUCGGAAUUCUUGGUGUAGCGGUGAAAUGCGUAGAUAUCAAGAGGAACACCUGAGGCGAAGGCGGGUUGCUGGGCUGAUACUGACGCUGAGGCGCGAAAGCUAGGGUAGCAAACGGGAUUAGAUACCCCUGUAGUCCCUGAGCGGGCUGGCAAGGCGCAU
Molecule: ribosomal RNA, 447 nt
Filed under: uncultured bacterium
Lineage: Bacteria
Description: bacterial SSU rRNA
Rfam family: Bacterial small subunit ribosomal RNA
Source: RNAcentral